GGGAGUAUGCUCAGUGGUAGAGCACAUGCUUGCUGUGCACAAGGUCCUGGGUUCAAUCCCCAGUGCCUCUG
Molecule: transfer RNA, 71 nt
Filed under: Camelus bactrianus (Bactrian camel)
Lineage: Eukaryota; Metazoa; Chordata; Mammalia; Artiodactyla; Camelidae
Also listed under: 3 other names
Rfam family: tRNA
About the family: Transfer RNA (tRNA) molecules are approximately 80 nucleotides in length. Their secondary structure includes four short double-helical elements and three loops (D, anti-codon, and T loops).
Source: Rfam by way of RNAcentral